AUUCCGCACGCUCUUCAUUCCACCCAUUCAUUAUCUCUUCUCUUCUCUGCCAACCUUACUCACACACACAAGUGCACAACAACACACAUAUCUCUCUGAUUCUGAUUUUGAUUUUAAUCCAUCAUCGCACAACCGUCAAUCAUCAUCAGCGCCUUUGAAUUCUGACCGUCGCUACCCGUCUCCCAACUCCGAUCAUCACCACCAACGCCAUGAAUUCUGAAAAAUAUCACAAACCACCGUUUUUAAUCACACGACCACCGUCAUGAAUCCCCAAAACCAUCACCACCGACCCUGUCAAUCACCACCGCUGGCAUCGAUCCCCAACACCGCCGCCGCCAUCACCAUAUUUCAGGGUUUCAUAAAUUUUUGAAAAAUUGAUCUCCUUUGAAACAUAACUUCUGUUAUAUUAUUAUUAUUAUUAUUAUUAUUAUUAUUAUUAUUAUUAUUAUUAUUAUUAUUAUUAUUAUUUUAAAUUCAUUUUUCAAAUUCAUAUGUACCGAUCUUUAUUUUUUGUGUAUGUAUAUGUUCUCUGAUGUGUUGAUGAUGGAAAAAUGAUGACUACCUCAGGAUGAUAAGCCCAUUGUCGUCAAGACUUUGUUGCCCACUUAAAAAGACAAAAAGCUUAUAUGAUUGAAAAGAACAAUGAUGUUUAUGGGUUCACAAAUGGAAGCAUGAUGGAGCUGACUAGAUGAGGACCUCAAUGGCAUUCAUCGGCACAAGAUCAGUAAGGUAUGGGACAUUUACAACAGGUGGUUGUGAUGGAACAGGAGAGGCCAAUGCAGCAAUGUCACUUCUGAUACUCUAUUAGCCUUACCCUUUUAGGCUUUGGCUUCGUUUUCCUGUCGAUAUAUUUUUUCCUAUAGCACAUUGGUCUUUCACUUUUAUGUACAGGUGGAAAAUAAUUGGUGAAGUUAGUGUAAUUGUUUGUGGAUCUACUGGUCCACCUAUGUCUUCAUGUAUAGUUUAAUGUUUUCUUUUACCGUAUAUUCAGGUUCCAGUUUUAGUACUGGUCCAUCUCAUGCGGCAUGCUCAUUUUAUUCAGGUCACUCGAACCGCAGGCCUUGGGUUGGUAGAAAUACUUGAAUGUCAAACCUUUGUCGUCGAAGAUACCAUGUGCUUGAGGUGCUAUGUUGCCUUUUAUUUGCAUGGAUGUAAGAGCCACCGAUGAGUCUAGCCUUUUGUUUGCUGCACCAUUGAAUCCGGCCUUUUCUUUGGAGAAUAUACUUAGAUCAACUGGGAAAUUCUAAGCCUUUCUAGAAUUUAUCUUUUGUUACAUGUAUCUUUUAAACAAUUAAAUUGUUGGAAUUUCUAACUGUCCAUAAUGCAAGUUUGUAGGAAGUGAUUCCUUUACUUGAACAAAAUAAUUACAUAGCCUCUUUGUGUUA
Molecule: long non-coding RNA, 1385 nt
Organism: Erigeron canadensis
Lineage: Eukaryota; Viridiplantae; Streptophyta; Magnoliopsida; Asterales; Asteraceae
Exons: 4
Source: RefSeq, a predicted model, not a curated record